Non-coding RNA from Rattus norvegicus (Norway rat), 8210 nucleotides. The record is from RefSeq and is a predicted model, not a curated record. NCBI's taxonomy places the organism in Eukaryota, Metazoa, Chordata, Mammalia, Rodentia, Muridae.
GGAAAGUCUAAGAGCCAGGAGUCAGGGAGGACGAGAGUGAAGCGGUAUUCUCUGGACAUGGCAGGAUGCUGCACUGUGGUCCCAUAGCAGCUGUGGUCGCCUGCCUAGGAUCAGGGCAGUCGACGUUCAGCAUGAGCUCAAGGGAUAGAUUCUGCGCGCCCCACGAGUCUGUGACAUCAUCAACCACCAAGUGGCUUGGAGUGUGAAUGGCUGAAGGAGGAAAUUGUCGUUGGCGAGAUAGAUGUCUAUUAGUAAGAAGAGACCUGAAACCCUGCGUGCAAGUGAGAAUGGCCUUAGACUCGGCAAUUAUCCACAGAAAACGUGUACCAAUUUGUCUCUGAUAGCAGGUAAGUCGGUAAAUGAUGGCACAUGUGGGCGCAGGAAACAGAUUGUCCUUGAAAGAGCACCCUAGGCAUAAGUCAUAUCAGGCAUGAAGGAAGGCAGGUCAGUGAAGACAGCUCCUUCAGUGUGUAAGAGGAGGCGAGCGUAGCUAGCGCUCUCUCUCUCUCUCUCUCUCUCUCUCUCUCUCUCUCUCUCUCCCUCCCCCCCCUCUCUCUCUCAGGACUGAGGAGGGUAAGUAAGGAGGGUUUCAGGCCUGUGAUUCAAGGCUCCAGGGUGUGAUAUCCUCUCAGAGCGACAACACAUUGGAUGGUGAGUCAUUCUUCAGCAUCUGGCAGAAAGACCGUGAGAGGAGAAUCAGCAAAGAAGGAAAUCUAUAGAGCAAUAAUUACCGUCAGGUGCUGGUGAGACUCGGACAGCACAAAGCCUGUUCCAGUUGUCGGUUACUCUUCUCAAGAUGGCUCAGAUACAUGGCCAGUUGGCUAGUCCUGGGUUCCGACUAGAAACCCAGUGGGGGCUGCCAUCUGGGAUCCUCUUUGCCAUGGGGACUGCUUGGACAUCCUCACACCUUGGCUGCUAGCUCCAACUGUGUGUCCCAAGAAACAAGCAGCCUGGGUCCAGAAACUAGGACAUUAUGGUGUUUUCUAUAUCCUAUUAUUCAGGCAGCCAUGGAAUUCCUGAAAUUUCAAGAAAAUGAAAAAUAGACUGCUCCUCUUAAAGGACCAUCAACCACGGCACAGCAUUCUGAUUCACCACACACCUCAAUACUUGGCGCACGGAAUUCUAUUCUUUGCAGCCUUUUUAUAAACAAAAAUGGUUGAGAAUAAGCUAAAUGUCCUUACUGUGGCCCUAAAUAAGUAAAUUAACUUAAUUUUGUAAAGCAAAACACUGCAUACCCAUAAAAAUGAAAUAGAAAUAUUUUCGUGUAGUAUGGAAAUCAUACACAAAAAUCCAAUUUUUUUGUUCUAGGUUAAUUAGCUGUAGUUCAUAUGAUACAAAAGUCACUGAGGCAUUUUGAAACACAAAACCCAGUGAAUCCCAGUAUAUUGGAUUCAGUGUCCAGUUAUUAUCCCCAUCUAAUUCUAGAACCCAGGCAUCAUUUCUGAAAGAAUCCCAUUACACAGUAGGCCGUCGUCCCCCAUUCUGCCCUCUGUCUGGCCCUAAUACUGGUCUUCUGAAGUCAGGACAGGAAAGUCUAAGGCUGUUCCAUUCCUUGCUUCCCUAAGGGCCGCUAGCAACAGUAGCUUAGAAGCAGUUUGUCAUCUUCAACCCACUUCAGCACAGGAAGAGAGGGUCAAACCUUCAGAGGGCCUCCGUAUCCACAAGUGUCCCAGAGGUCUCCAUCACACAGCUGUCACAUUGUCACCCGGUGCCUUUAGAAAUCAUAAGUUAAACAUCUAGCAGAGUUAGCAUUGCACACAGAUGAGUAUAGGCAGUGAGGAGUUUGGGGUUUGAUUCUCAUUAUUGCUGUAAUACAUCAGUUACAGCCUGUGAACCCCACUUAGUCAACCAAUGUCAUAGAUUUUUUUCAAAAACAGUGAGUCUCAAUUUAAUACCUGCAAUUUAAUAGGCAUGGAAUUUACAUAUAUUUGGCUUUCCUUAAAGUAUGAGGGGAGGAGGCAAGCUCCAGCCAUUGGCAACAAUCAGGUGGGGAUGACAGGUGGGAGCUCUUCUGAAAAAGUCACACACACACACACACACACACACACACACACACACACACGAGUGCACCAUGACACUUGGGUGGCCUGUUUGACUAAGGAAUUAGCUGCCUGGCCCCCAACAGCGCUACACAUCAGGGUCCUCUGUGGAGAGUGGUCAGAAGCUCACCUUUUACCAUGCUUCAAGCACAAAGUUCUCUAAAUACAAAACUGUGUCAUUAAGUGUUUGUUUGUUUACAACAAAUAGUCUUGAUUUCUCAGCACUCGAAAUGAAGAAUGGUUGCUAUCCCAAAAGGUCCAGCAAAAAUUAAAAGGUUUCAGAGUGUGUGGACAAUAACUGAGUCUGACUAUUUUGAAGGAGAUCCAGAUACUUCUGUGUCGCAUGGCGAAUGGCCAGUACAUGGUGGGGUCUCAUCAGUACACACGAGCUCACUUGCAGUAUGACCAGAAUGAAGAGCUAUAAGAGAGGAGUAAUUCCAGCAACACAAAUAUUUCAGAAGUAUGACUCUGUGUGUAUGUUUAGAUCUGCCUCUCAAACAGACAGACUCUCUCCUGACAGUGACUACUGAGAAAGGGGUAUUUGCCAUAGAGAAAGGCUCUGAGAAAGCACAGCGGCUCUGAAUGAUUCCACAGAACGGGACGGCUGAAGGUUCAGGCUCUUAAAGCCAGGUAGGGAAAGAUCCAACUGAAUCAUGGGAACGCUCUUUCCGAGGAGCAGUGGACUCCCUUGGAAAGCGUAUACUUUGAGAAAUGUGAAGAAAUAAGGGCGAGGUCCCCAAAGCGAGCUCAAAAACAUCAGACCAGAGAGCGAGAACCCGUAAAGGGGGCGAGGGGCAAGUCCGUGUGAGUGAAUUUCUGAUAAAGGGAGAGGGGCAAAUUCAAAUUCCUGCGACUGAGUUUCUUGAUGGAGAAAUGCAGCUGUCAAUAUGGACCAAAAGCGAUAUUACUGUGCACCCCUGUAUGCCUGUGUUUGACUGAAGGUUUCAGCAUCAAUGGUGUGACAAGCACACGCCAUUGUGCUUUGGCAUCACCUCCAGAGGCAGACCCCUGACUGGAACACCACAGACAACAAAGCUGGGUAGCUGUCAGCAGUAGCUCUCCGUCUCUCCAAGAUCACUUGAGAUUCUUUAGCAUGGAAUUAUAAUUAGCACAUCAAAAUGGUUUUUCUUUGGUGAAAUCAAUGACUUAAUUAGCAUAAAAAAUUUUAAUUAUGUUUUAAAUGUUAAAUUAAAUUGUCAUCAAUAAAUGUGAACUGGUUGGAAUAUUACAUAAAUGAGUAAUCUCAGCUGCAUUUUGCCCCCCAAAAAUGAUAUGCUGUAGCCCUAACCCCCAGUGCCUUAUUGGGUCAGCUAUGCCCUGUUUGGGGAAAGUGGGGCAUUCCCGAGGGACUCCUAAGAAGUAGCACAUAGAACAAGUGACACAUGAAGACAGAGGUUGGAUAAGCCGCAGUAGAGCCAGGAGUGCUUGGGGACUACAGACCACCACCAGACUUCCGCCCAGUUCUAUGUGCUUCCUGUACUGCUGGCAUUUUAAUUACACCUUCUAGGCUACAGAAACACACAAGGAGACAUUUCUGCUGCUUUUAAGACAUCCAGUUUGUGAAAAUUUGUUAUUUUCAUACUAACAAUAAGGUCUACAAUUCGUGAGAGGACGACAGCCUAAACCCUUAUGGGUAACAUUUAUAUUAGUCAAGAUGCACACACACACACACACACACACACACACACACACACCACAGACACAUAUACACACACAGACUCUACAUAGAGACACACAUACAGAACAUACAGACUUACAUAUAUAAGAUACACACAGAGAGAUAAACGGACACACAGACACACAGACAUACAGACUCGCAUACACACAGAGAGAGACACACAAACACUCACACAUUCAUGUACUUACCAACACACACACACACACACACACACACAGAAACACACACACAGAUGCACAGACACACAGACAUACACACAUACACUCACAUAUUAAGACACGGAAGGGAUGAUAAUUUUUAAGAUCUGCAGAAGGAACUGGUAAACUUUAUCAAGUCCCAGGAACACUGCUGGGAUAGUUGAGUCCAACAGACUAGAAGACACAGGAAGAGGCGACGUUUCAGCUCCAGUACAGACAGAGAGUGGCCACCAUCUUAGCUACCUCCUGCCAGGAGGAAGAAUCUCCCCGCUCUUGAAGGAGAGGCAGCACUCGUGCAGUCAGGCCUUCAACUGAUGGGGUGGGGCCCUUGCACACUGAGAGAGGCAAUGUGCUUACUCGGUCUGCUGAUUUCGGUGCCAACCAGACCCCAAAGCACCCUUACAGGAACUCUCAGGAUAACAGCAGGACAAGCUUCGGGACAGUCUAAGGUCAAUCCCACUUGACAAAAUCAACUGUCACAAGAUUCAACCAGACCUUUAAGGAGUCUUAUGUUCAAUACCAGUGCACUGAUGGCUGCCUGUGCCACCUCUUGGUCCAGAGGGCUCCUGUUCCUUGCCUGGCCAUGUUUGCUUGGGUAAGCUGCUUGUAGAACAUGAGGCAGUAACAACCAAGAGGGAAACACCACCAUUCUCAAAUGUGUAAGUUUGUGAUCUGCGUUACCAUACAUGGUAAUGAGCGUGUUUAGUAAAUGUUGCAGCAGAAUUUGAGGUGAGAGUCACUUUCAGUUGUUUGGGAAGUAAGUUUGGAGAGAAAGUAAACUCUAAGCUUUCUUAAUCUCCUUUUGUAUUACAUUAUCCACCAAACAAAUGUGUGACUGGAGAGCCACGCGGCUGGGAAGGGCUUCAGAAAGUGUGUUCCAGCCAGCUUCCCUGACAUCCUGAAGGUAAAGCAACCCCAGUUGGCAUCCGGGCCAUAUCACUAUUUACUAACAAUUAUCAGCAUUCUCAACCUGUAGAGGGUUAAUGUGGGCUUCCCUAAGUUGGGUCAAGUAAAAAUAUUCAACUCAAGUAUAGUUGAGUUAAAAUAGUAUUAAAAUGAUGUUGUUGUUGUUGUUGUUGUUGUUGUUGAUGAUGAUGAUGAUGGUGAUGAUGGUGGUGAUGAUGAUGAUGGUGGUGGUGGUGAUGAUGAUGAUGAUGAUGAUGCAGCCAAUGUAUUUACACUAAUGUCUUAGGCUCAUGAGACUCAUAGAAAGCUCAGGUGAGGAAAAGAUGUAUUCUAAUAAGCUUUAGGUUUGUUUUGGUUCUGAUGACUAAUUGUCUUGUACUGCUAUUACCCUAUUAAAGAUUCAGAUGAAUAAAAAUAUUAAAAAGACACUUGGCUUCAAGUUUAAAUGAUGUUUUACUAGCAUGAAUGGCUGAGGCAGGGGUGAAUAAAUAAUAAGAAAGGCCAGAGGAAAGAAAGGCUAGCUUAGAUUUCUGCCACCGCUCUAACAAAUUACCAUAAAUCUAGUGGCUAAGUAAGCACAAACUCAUUACCCUAUAAUCACACAGGACAAAUGUGCAGCUGGGUACCCCUUGGGUAAACUCCAGGUAUCCAAAACUCAGGCAUCUCUCUCCAAGUGCCUGUUCAGGUCAUUAGAAGUUAGGUAUAGAAAACAAUACACCCCACCCCUACAAUUGCCAGUUGUGUAGCCAAGUCCCUCACUCUCCUGCUGGUUGUAGCCUAAGAGCUGUUGCCACCUUCCAAACGCCACCAGCGUGUGAGAUGACAUAACUGCAGAUGGCAAGGACUAAAAUGCAGACAUCUUUUGUGGGAACACCAUUUCGUCUGUCACACAGGAGGAUAGAGGAGCCGGGAGAGGCUAAUUAUCUGUCAGGCUUCCCAUCUUUCUCCCAUCCCACAGCUUUCUCUUCACUCCCUUCUAGUCCUACCGACAUUCUUUCCCACAAAGCAAGAUGGUUAAAAGAUCUUCAGUCAAGACAGAAACACAUGCCAAGUAAAGGUAGACACACCCUGCAAUUGUGGGUCGUUGUUGUGGGGUUUCUCAGGGACUGAGGCGCACUGGCUGGAUAGAGCAUUGCCCCUUGCACCAGACCUUGUCUACGGGUAUUCAAGGUGCUGUGAAAUCCCAGAAGAGAGCACGUUCACUCAGAUGUGCUUAUGCACAGUCCACACAUUUUUUAGCUCUCCAGAUAUUCUUCUUCUUAGCACUCCUAAUGCUAAAACGAAUUACUGAUAUUAACACUGCAUGUGUGAUCUAUGUUAAAACUGGAUCUACAAGAAACUUUUAAGAAGUCCACAUUUUGUUAAAGUGUAAAAUCAUACUGAGCUUUACAAGCUUUGAUUCUCAACCGACUUGCUCUCUGGCUACGUGUUUAUGAAGCAGUUUUAUCCAUCAGAGUUCUUUCUCAACUUGUACAUCCUGUAGUAGAUCCGAGUCGAAGAGUGGGGAGAGGCUCUGGGCUAGCUUGUUUGGAGCUGGUACUGCAAGAAUUAGCUGAGAGGCCUUGCUCUUUGACUCACAAUUGGAGAACGCCCUGUCAGGAUGGUGUAGCACUGGAGUAAAGGGAAGAGAAAGCUUCUACCGGAGACAGCAGUCUGGGAGGAUCUUGCAACGUCUGAUGAUCUGACCCUCUGACCCAUUUUUAGGCCUGUCUCGGUGGCCUGCUUCUGGCCUCUCAUCACAGAAGGAGAGCUUUAAAACUGCUCUCUCUCAAUCCCCACUAGUCAAGCAAUUCAAGUGGGAUGACUUGGGUGGACUCUGCACACCAGAUCUAAAACAAUAACAUCCCUCUCCCCCUGUGUAGACUCAGGCAACCAAAGAGUUUUACUUUAAACUCCAAACGCUGUUAAAAUGCAGCUAUCACAGGAAAAGAAGAGACAACUUUAUCAGUCACGCACUUAAACAGGGGAAUGUCUUAAUUUUUCUGAAGACUUGAUCCUUUCAAGAAGAAUGACAGGUAAGAGGUGUGCGGGAUAAUGUCCCUGUUUUGUUUACUUCCUUUGCUCUAAAGCUCCUUAGAAUUUUCUCUUCAUAAACAUCCUAUUAGUUAUUCAAUUUUUAAGACAACUCUUCCCUAAAAGCAUCUUGAAUGAAGGUCCUUUGAGACAAAUUUCAAGAGAUAAAUGAUGCUCUCCCCAGAGCUAAAUAGAAGCUGAUGUUAGGCAAUCAGCAACAGAAAAAAAUAAAAUAAAAUAAACCCCCUAGUUAACUUUUUCUGAGUCACUUUUCAGAAACAUAUUAGGAAAAAGAUGCAAUUUGGAUAACACAGACUGUCACAUAACAGUAUACAUGAUGACUUACGGCCAAAUAAAGUUUCUUAGAUCACUAGAUUAGUCCCAGUCUGCCCUCAGCAUCUCUUUCCAUUAUGGAUAAGGCAAAGUUACUUUUCAGAAGCUACCAAGGGAAGAUAGCUGUCACUUCUGAGGUAGCUGCUUACCUCCCACUGCAUUUCUGCCUCACAGAAGUGGUUUGCAGUUGGAAAAAGGAACUCUGUCUGUCAUUGCUUUCUUGUUUGCACUCGGCAGCUUCAUCAACCAUGAGUGAUAACUGGAGAGAGGGGGAAGAGUAAAGCAUGGGCACCAGGUUAUCAGCCCCACCCCGACCACUUGGAACACUAGAACCAAAGCGGUUCAGAUGGCGAAGGCCACGAAUUACUGUUCCCGCCAUAUCAGGAGGAAAGUGGUGUUUGAACACUCAAUGCUUCAAUGCUUCCACUUUGCAAAACAAAAGAAAAUCGACUUAUUCACACAAAGUAAUAAACUACCCCUCAUCGAGUUUCAUUUAUUGUUUAUUAUCUUAUAAUGCCUUCUUCUGGAAGAAGUUUGGGAAGUGUGCAUGGCUGCUCAGAGAGUGCAUAGCUGUGUGUACACACAGAAGUCCAAGGAGGACAUUGGGUAGCCUGUUCCAAUGCACUGUCUUAUCCCUUGAGACAAGCUCUCCGGCUGAUCCUGGUGCCAGCAAAUCCCAGAAACACUCCUGACUCCAUCCCCCAGGGCCACUCUGGGGUUACAGUGCCUACAAGACUCCGCUCUACCAUGAACCACACAACCACAAGUGCCCCACCUUGACUUCCUGUCUAUCCUCUGAGGGCUGCAUCCUAAGUUCUCAGGACUCCUGCUCUGCUGGCAACUUUGAACAAACCACCCCGGCAAGUUGAUCAUGCUUUCCAUUGAUCUUUCACCUUUCCACAACACUCUUCAGAUGGCACUGUGUUCCCACAUUGGUGUGCAUGAGAAGAGAGGAAACAUCAUGUAGAAAUGCUCAGUUCGCCCUUCCCCUACCUCAAAGCCUUAAGAAGACUUCUUGGCAAACCUCGGACUGCUAUAAAUUCU